This 430-nucleotide long non-coding RNA is filed under the name Prunus persica (peach). RNAcentral's name for it is "long non-coding RNA (PPER_LNC006472)". Lineage: Eukaryota; Viridiplantae; Streptophyta; Magnoliopsida; Rosales; Rosaceae. The record is from RNAcentral.
AAGAUUAUUAAUAAAAGUACACUUAUUAAAAAAAAAUGAAAGAAAGAGAGGAGCUCGAUGAGGAGGAAGACGAGAGAGGCUCUAAAUUCUUCAACAAGAAGAGAAGUUUCUUUUAUGAAGUUGAAAGCAUUGCUCAAAAUGUAAUUGAGAGCUUGUGAAUAUGGUAUUUUGUAUAGGAUGUUGAAGGAUUAAGUGUGUAAUUGGUGGAUUUUGGGCUCUAGAUGGCUAUUGUUAAACUCCAUGGAUAUGUUAGUGUACUGCUUUUAAAUUUUUCAUGAAUAAUUUCCAGCAAUUUAUAGAUUUGUUGUAUUGUAGCUAUUAAGUAAUUCGUUUCUUUGGUAAAAUAUGUAGUUUCAUCUCUAAGUUCUUUUGAUUCCUAUUCAAUUAGGUAUAAUUGUAUCUUUGUGGAAUUUGACAACUUUUUUGUGUG